UCACAUAAUAUAUCAUUACUUCAUACUGUAUCAUAGGAUGUGCUCCUGAAUUAGACUCUACACACCCCUAUGGUAAGGGCAGGGAGGUGGCCAUGCUACAUGGGGCCCUGAGGUGGAGGCUGGGGUAGGGGUCAGGGAGGGCUUCCAGGAGGAGCUAAUAAGCCUUCCAGAAUGAGCAGGACUUAGCCAGACAGACAGGGUAGAAGGGCAUUCCAGGCAGAAGGGAAGGCAUGAGCACAGAAGCCAAAAAUAGCCCCUCUGGGCGAGGAGUUCCGCGUUGAUGGGAGUGACCGGCUAGAGCCAGGUCACAUUGGGGGAGGGGCAGGUGCCCUGUAAGGGAGUCUGGCCUCUACCCUUGGCCUGUGGAGAGCCCCUGAGGGGUCCUGAGCAGGGGAGUGAGGCGGUCCCACCUGGCUUUCAGCAGAGCUGCUGGGAGGGGCUCAGAGCUGCCACCUCUGCAACCGAAACCGGGAAGAGAGGAGAAAGGAGUGAAGUACGACGCCUGAGUAAAGCACAGAUGAAACACCCUCCAAAGCGCGAGCCUCAGCUUGUGAGGACCGGCCACCCGGAGCGAUGUGCACGACGGGCUUUUUCCACCGCUGGGGUUGACGACUUUCUGCUGCCCUGCCCACACCGUGCCCUCCCGGGCACCUUCUUUCUGCCCCGUCUCCUCCAGCCCGGGUUUUAUGAAAACAGUCACUUCUAACCAUCUCCCAUUUUAAGAGCUUUGCGAAGAAAAAACAAGUUCAGCAGCGUCCAGGAUACCUAAUUAGGUGGCCUUCAGGCACCUUAGAGGAGGAAGAAAAGUCACAACUGGUGCAAGAAGGGGAAGGGAAGAAACACCAUUAAAAGAAAACAAGGGGAAACCAAAUAAAGAGCAGAGAUAAAGAGUCGGGAGAAAACAGCGGCGCCUGAGAAACACGGAUUCCAGCCGCCAACUUUUACGGCGUCCAGCCCUGUUAUUCAUAAGCGAGUUUCCUCUCUCACAAAGGACCUUUUGCACGGUUUUCCCUGCUGCCUCCAAACCAGCUGCUUGUGCUGUUGUAUCCUGAGUGAUGAUGAGGCUCUGAAAGGGUUUUUUGGGAACAGAUGGCCAGGGGAGAGCUGGGGAAUGUGCCAGCAGAGCGCUGGGCGGGCUGCCAGGGCCCGCGGUGACUGAGCGCUUGGGCUUCCAGCUCGCGUGCUUUCCCUGCCCUCUGCCCUCCGUGGCGCCAGCAGGCCUUCCCAGCGAGCGCUCGGAACAUCUGGAGUCUGGGGCUGCCAGGAGGGGGGGCCGCGGCGGCCGGGCGGGGGACCCUCUGUUCCAGCGGAGCUCCCAGGGCCUCGCCACCAGGCCCGCCUUGUGGAACAGCUAAUCAAAACCACAGCGCCCGAAUGGGAACCAGGCGUGCUCCCAGCUGCAGCCAGAGGCCGCCAGGGCGACUUAACCCGGUGUCAGGCCUCGCUGGCGGCGGCACUGGGGGCGGGGGGCUGCUGACACCCCCACCCCGACCGGCCCGGCCCACCCCUUGCCACCCCCAGCGGUCUGUGGGCUCCCCGCGGCUAAAUGGAGCCUGCAAGCGCCGCAGUCCGGCUGCUUACAUAAGAGCUGCUGCUCCUGACAAGGCCCUGCACCCGCAUUUGCUGGGGGUCCCCGGGUGCAGGCCACCCUGCUGGGCGAUACGUGAGCUUCAGGGCCCGGGCGCAGCUGAAGAGCUCGGAGUUUGGAACCAAAGAGACACGUGCUCAAAUCAGCUCCACCACUUCCUCGCUGCAUGGCCUUGGGCAAGUGACUGCCCUUCUCUUGGCUUCAGCUUCCCCUCCGUGCAAUGGGGAAGUGGUGCUAACUUGUGGGGUUAGCAUAAAGGGCAGAGAUAAAGUACGGGAGGUGCUCGGCACGCAGUGGGCACUCCCCACUCGGUCAGCGCGACUGUCGGCCGGAGUCCGUUUAUCAGCAUUAUUACCACGUACAACCACACGUUAUGCAUGUUCUUUGGUAUGAAUCCGCGAACUUUGAAAGCCCAGGGAUUUCUGGGCUGGCUAGGUGCUCUCCCUCCUUUAAGGAUGCAGGGCCAGGGGGUUUGCCCUGAAUGCUGGACAAACAGGAGUCCCCCAUUCAGAACUAUUUGCCCUUAUCUGCCUUUUGUCUGGUCGUUCAUCCAUUCCAGGCACUGCCCUUUCCUGAGAUGACCCUUCCAGGGAUUCCAUAUGAAGUUGUUACCUUGCGACUGUAAAUUCAUGAGAUUUCCCUUCUGGCACUGAGAAAAGGCCAGCCCUUUCUCAUAAUGGAUCUCCUUUCAUCCUUCCAGCAAGGUGGCGAGGAAGGUUUAUAAGCUGACACUUGACACACGAGAGAACGGGGGAUCAGAGAAGUUAGGGAACACACCCAAGGUCACAUGGGUAGGAAGUACCAGUGCCAUGAUUCAAACCCAGGUCUCCAGCGCCAAAGCCUACACUUCCCCUACUUCAUGGUCUUGCCAGGGUCAUACCCUGUUGUAUGUGCCUUAAAGUUAAAUGACAGCACCAGAGAGAACUGAAAGGAACUGUAGGGUUCUCUCAACUCAACACCCACCUACAGCAUCCUGGACCACCGAGACUCUGAAGGGGUUUUCAAAGGGGCACCCUGGCUCGAAGAGGUGCCCUGCAGGUUAGAGCAUCCGAGGGGACUUUUCCCAUCUCUGACUUUCUGAGCAUGAGAGGUGGGUUCUUUCUCACUGUCCGAGACCCCAACGUUUCAUUCAUACACAGCGUGGUGGGGAGAAGGGUGGGGUCUGUGAGUGUGUGUCAGGAGGGGAGAAGAGGAGGAGAAUGUGAAGACGGUGUGAAAGGAGAGGGGAAAGCAGCGGCCCAGUCUCUCCCCCACCUCGGGACCACCCGGGGAACAGCAGAGGGCCAAGUUCUGAGUUCCAAGGAAGCCAGCUCCAAGCUAACCUGGGGGGCUCCCCAGCCCACGACCCCUCCAUCCCAGUCCCUGCCAGCCGUGUAGACUAACGGUGUCAACUGUGAGAGGAGAAACGGCAGCUGAGAGAACACUCCGUGUGAGAACAAACAGCUGGCCACAAACGUCUAUGUAAUUGGAAUGCCAGAAAAAAUAAAUUGCAUCCAUUUUUAUGACGAGAAGGGAAUUUGAUGGUGGUUUCCCACCCACCCCCCUUCUUUCCCAGCAUAGACGGACUCCACGGGUUUUGAAAGCACAUGGUAUUUAACUCAGUAACAUGGCUUGGAGGAUGUGGAGACAGGACCUCCUCUCACCACACCAUUUCCAUGUGGGGGGGGGGUUGGGGGCGG
This is a non-coding RNA of Kogia breviceps (pygmy sperm whale), 3267 nucleotides long. The record is from RefSeq and is a predicted model, not a curated record. Lineage: Eukaryota; Metazoa; Chordata; Mammalia; Artiodactyla; Physeteridae.